Molecule: ribosomal RNA, 481 nt
Filed under: uncultured bacterium
Lineage: Bacteria
Description: SSU rRNA
Rfam family: Bacterial small subunit ribosomal RNA
Source: RNAcentral
AGGACGAACGCUGGCGGCGUGCUUAACACAUGCAAGUCGAGCGGUAAGGCUCCUUCGGGAGUACACGAGCGGCGAACGGGUGAGUAACACGUGAGCAAUCUGCCCUUCACUUCGGGAUAACUCCGGGAAACCGGUGCUAAUACCGAAUACGACCACUUCAGGCAUCUGAUGGUGGUGGAAAGUUCCGGCGGUGAAGGAUGAGCUCGCGGCCUAUCAGCUUGUUGGUGAGGUAAUGGCUCACCAAGGCAACGACGGGUAGCCGGCCUGAGAGGGUGACCGGCCACACUGGGACUGAGACACGGCCCAGACUCCUACGGGAGGCAGCAGUGGGGAAUAUUGGACAAUGGGCGAAAGCCUGAUCCAGCAACGCCGCGUGAGGGAUGACGGCCUUCGGGUUGUAAACCUCUUUCAUCCAUGACGAAGCGCAAGUGACGGUAGUGGAAGAAGAAGCACCGGCCAACUACGUGCCAGCAGCCGCGGU